This 253-nucleotide ribosomal RNA is filed under the name uncultured bacterium. Its description in RNAcentral is "partial 16S ribosomal RNA". It matches the Rfam family "Bacterial small subunit ribosomal RNA", at positions 524 to 776 of the family's 1533-position model. The record is from RNAcentral.
UACGUAGGGCGCAAGCGUUGUCCGGAAUUAUUGGGCGUAAAGAGCUCGUAGGCGGCUUGUCACGUCGAUUGUGAAAGCCCGAGGCUUAACCUCGGGUCUGCAGUCGAUACGGGCUAGCUAGAGUGUGGUAGGGGAGAUCGGAAUUCCUGGUGUAGCGGUGAAAUGCGCAGAUAUCAGGAGGAACACCGGUGGCGAAGGCGGAUCUCUGGGCCUGUACUGACGCUGAGGAGCGAAAGCGUGGGGAGCGAACAGG